Molecule: transfer RNA, 73 nt
Filed under: Felis catus (domestic cat)
Lineage: Eukaryota; Metazoa; Chordata; Mammalia; Carnivora; Felidae
Rfam family: tRNA
About the family: Transfer RNA (tRNA) molecules are approximately 80 nucleotides in length. Their secondary structure includes four short double-helical elements and three loops (D, anti-codon, and T loops).
Source: Rfam by way of RNAcentral
AUCUGGCUGGCUCAAUCGGUAGAGCGUGUGACUCUUGAUCUCGGGGUCAUGAGUUCCAGCCCCAUGCUGGGUG